GCAGUCGUGGCCGAGUGGUUAAGGCGAUGGACCAGAAAUCCAUUGGGGUCUCCCCGCACAGGUUGGAAUCCUGCCGACUGCG
This is a non-coding RNA of Ixodes scapularis (black-legged tick), 82 nucleotides long. NCBI's taxonomy places the organism in Eukaryota, Metazoa, Arthropoda, Arachnida, Ixodida, Ixodidae. The record is from Rfam.